GGGGAAGUUGAUUCCAUGACUGUGUGGCCC
Molecule: non-coding RNA, 30 nt
Filed under: Rattus norvegicus (Norway rat)
Lineage: Eukaryota; Metazoa; Chordata; Mammalia; Rodentia; Muridae
Source: RNAcentral